UACGAAGGGGGCUAGCGUUGCUCGGAAUCACUGGGCGUAAAGGGCGCGUAGGCGGCCAUUCAAGUCGGGGGUGAAAGCCUGUGGCUCAACCACAGAAUUGCCUUCGAUACUGUUUGGCUUGAGCUUGGUAGAGGUUGGUGGAACUGCGAGUGUAGAGGUGAAAUUCGUAGAUAUUCGCAAGAACACCAGUGGCGAAGGCGGCCAACUGGACCAACACUGACGCUGAGGUGGCGAAAAGCGUGGGGAGCAAACAGGG
This 256-nucleotide ribosomal RNA is filed under the name uncultured bacterium. Its description in RNAcentral is "partial 16S ribosomal RNA". It matches the Rfam family "Bacterial small subunit ribosomal RNA", at positions 524 to 777 of the family's 1533-position model. The record is from RNAcentral.